AGUCAACCUACCCUAUGGACGGGGAUAACCUCGGGAAACUGAGAAUAAUACCCGAUAGGUCAUAAUGCCUGGAAUGGUUUAUGGCCGAAAUGAUUUAUCGCCGUAGGGUGGGACUGCGGCCUAUCAGCUUGUUGGUGUGGUAAUGGCUCACCAAGGCUAUAACAGGUACGGGCUCUGAGAGGAGAAGCCCGGAGAUGGGUACUGAGACAAGGACCCAGGCCCUAUGGGGCGCAGCAGGCGAGAAAACUUUGCAAUGUGCGAAAGCACGACAAGGUUAAUCCGAGUGUUUCCUGCUAAAGGAAUCUUUUGUUAGUCGUAAAACCACUAGUGAAUAAGGGGUGGGCAAGUUCUGGUGUCAGCCGCCGCGGUAAAACCAGCACCUCAAGUGGUCAGGAGGAUUAUUGGGCCUAAAGCAUCCGUAGCCUGCUCUAUAAGUUUCCGGUUAAAUCCAUUCGCUCAACUAAUGGGCUGCCGGAAAAACUGUAGAGCUAGGGAGUGGGAGAGGUAGACGGUACUCGGUAGGAAGGGGUAAAAUCCUUUGAUCUAUUGAUGACCACCAGUGGCGAAGGCGGUCUACCAGAACACGUUCGACGGUGAGGGAUGAAAGCUGGGGGAGCAAACCGGAUUAGAUACCCGGGUAGUCCCAGCUGUAAACUAUGCAAACUCAGUGAUGCAUUGGCUUGUGGCCAAUGCAGUGCUGCAGGGAAGCCGUUAAGUUUGCCGCCUGGGAGGUACGUACGCAAGUAUGAAACUUAAAGGAAUUGGCGGGGGAGCACCACAAAGGGUGAAGCCUGCGGUUC
Molecule: ribosomal RNA, 800 nt
Filed under: uncultured archaeon
Lineage: Archaea
Description: bacterial SSU rRNA
Rfam family: Archaeal small subunit ribosomal RNA
Source: RNAcentral